Molecule: long non-coding RNA, 1342 nt
Organism: Cyprinus carpio carpio
Lineage: Eukaryota; Metazoa; Chordata; Actinopteri; Cypriniformes; Cyprinidae
Source: Ensembl
UGAUCACGAAAUAUGAAUAUUAAAUAUAAAUUUAUAAAAAAAUAAAUAUGAGCUUAAUUCAUGAUUUUAAAAAAAAAAUUUUAAUAAGUUAUUUUUGUAUCACACAGGACUAAUAGGUUAUGUUUUAUGUCUUUCUUAACUAAUUAGCCUAAACAUUAUUUUAUUUUUAUAUAACUAUUUUAAUAAACGAAAAUAUAAUAUAAUAAAUACAUUAAUAUAUUUCAUAUUAAGCAUAGUUUAGUCCUUUUAAAGUAAUUAAUUUUACUCGAGACAAAAUAUUAUCUGGUUGUUUUUCAAAAAACCCGCGCAAAUUUCCGUCAGUAACGUCCGCUCGCACAUCCACGGCUCACCCUUUCACGGGAUCACAACGGGACGGCUGGAAAAUAACAGGUAAGCAUUCGAACUUCUUUAUUCCUAUUUAAAGCCUUUUUUUGUGAUUUUUAUAUAUAUAUAUAUAUAUAAAAAAUUUUUUUUUUUUUCUUCUUCUCAUAGCCGGACACAGACAAACCAGUCACGCAAAUUGUAUUUUUUAAACUAGAGAGAUCACUGACAGGCCAUAUGAAACCAUUCGCCAUUUUGUGAGGGUUCGCGGUGGCUUGAUUAACGUUAACUUACUUGAUAAUAGGCAGCUGAUUUUGAAAAUAUCUGUGAAUACUUCGAUGCUUUUUGUCUUUGGAUACCAAUCUAAAGGGAGACAGAAGUGGAGAUGGAGUCUGACUUGAGAUACGCAGUGAUUAAAUUCCCCCAAGACAACACAGUUGACGUAGUUCCUUCCAACUGGCUUGAAAAAACAACAGAGAGAAUAUAUUGCUACUGGCCAAGAAAAAUUUUUACUGCUAAAGCAAAAAGGAGAGACAAUCCAGAUACUACCCUCUGGUCAAAACAUGUUUCAGUGGUUCUGGUGUAUGCAGAUAGCUAUGAGGAAGCCAGACUGAAGGCCAACCAGGCUACAGUGACAUCAAACCUGGAAAGCGAAGAGGAGCCAACACGGAGACCAGUAAGACCUCCAGCGCGAUAUAGGAGACAGCUGGAUAGUGGUGAUGACGAAGACUCACCGCCACCAAAGACACGCAUUGUCAGCACACCAAAAUUUACCCCAAGAACAGAAUAUUUUGAAGAACAAAGACAGUUAAAUACUCCAAGCUGUGGCACCACUCAACAAGGUUUUCUAAGUGCCCAAGAACCAGCACCCACAGUGUCUAACUGGGAAACGCAACAUGAAGACAACACCGAGUUGAAGAAACUAGAAAGAGCCAUCUUCAUUCGACUUGACAAAAUGGACCAAAAGCUGUCAACGAUAGAAACACUUAAGAAGUAUUGCCCAGCCAACCGACAUUUCUGA